This 299-nucleotide unclassified non-coding RNA is filed under the name uncultured Sebacinales. RNAcentral describes it as "sequence contains ITS2". Lineage: Eukaryota; Fungi; Basidiomycota; Agaricomycetes; Sebacinales. The record is from RNAcentral.
AACGCACCUUGCACCCUUUGGUAUUCCGAAGGGUACACCCGUUUGAGUGUCAUUGUAAUCUCACUACAACCACUUUAUUGUGGUUUGUAUGUGGACCUGGAUGUUUGCCGUGUAAUAAACGGCUCGUCUGAAAUGCCUGAGUGUACCCUGCUUUGCGGCGUAUUCGGUGUGAUAAAUCUUCACCGGAGUUGACUUUCGGGUCACGUCUGCUUACCAUGGCUCUAUGCUUCCAACAGUCCUAACAAGACAAUCUUUGACAAUUUGACCUCAAAUCGGGUGGGACUACCCGCUGAACUUAA